AGGCUGAAAAUUACAUGAGGUAAUUUCUAAAUCAGGUAAUUUAUUUGAGGUUUUUUUUCCAAUACCAUGCUCUUAAAUAUAUUAUUCUACUUAAAAUUUUAGGUUACCAACUAAUUAUAGUGAAGGCUGAAAAUUACAUGAGUUGAUUUCCAAAUCAGGUAAUUUCCAACAGCAUGCUCUUAAAAUAGAUUUAUGUACAUAACUUUCUAGGCUAAAUGCAAAAACAGUAACAUUGUCACCAUUUUAUUUUAUAUCAAAUGUAGAUGUAGGUGAUGGAAUCAAUUUGGAGUUCUGGAGAGGUGUAUCAAGCCUUGAAAAGCUUGAAUCUUAAGAUAAAUGAAGUUAGUCUUCACUGUUCAGGUUAAUUUAUAUGUAUUUACUUGCUAAUAUUACUUGACUUACAUAUUGUAUUUUUUAUUUUAAUUUUGACCGGUUUUUUCAAUUCUGUGCAUAUAUCUUUGUGCCUUAUAUCUUGCAUUUGUUUUCUUAGUUAUUUUCUUUAUAAGUUGUCAGCAUUUAUGGUGCAUCAAUAUUGCAAAACAUUUUCUCAAUUGGGUAUAACCAAUUUUAUAUACAUUUUCUAAUUAGGGUUUAUUAAAAAAAUCAUCUUCUAACAUGGUCUAAACUGUAUUUUCACUUUUCUUCCUCAAAGACCGGUGGAUAUAGCCAAGACAUGAUCUCUAUAGUGAGCUUUUCUUUAUCAAAGAUCAAUAAAG
This 716-nucleotide long non-coding RNA is filed under the name Lactuca sativa (garden lettuce). RNAcentral's name for it is "long non-coding RNA (LSAT_LNC007245)". Lineage: Eukaryota; Viridiplantae; Streptophyta; Magnoliopsida; Asterales; Asteraceae. The record is from RNAcentral.